GAUUAUAUUUCAUUACUAAUAUAAAUAGUUUAAUAUUUAAGGUAAAAGAUAAAUUUGUCUAAAAAAAAAAAUUGUAAUUCCUUUCUUUAUUAAAUUUUAUAUCAAACCAAACAAUGAAAUCUAAUUUCACUACUCUUCUCCACUCCUUUAUUCUCCGUUCCUCUACAUUCCACUCUUUUCCACUCCUCCCUUUUCUUGAAACCAAACAUGGCCUUAUGGGAAAGGAAUUUUGUUGAGUGCCAGAGAGUAUAUGCUCAUAAAGG
RNAcentral lists this long non-coding RNA (263 nucleotides) under Citrus maxima (pomelo). RNAcentral's name for it is "long non-coding RNA (CMAX_LNC003060)". The record is from RNAcentral. Lineage: Eukaryota; Viridiplantae; Streptophyta; Magnoliopsida; Sapindales; Rutaceae.